This 301-nucleotide ribosomal RNA is filed under the name uncultured bacterium. Its description in RNAcentral is "partial 16S ribosomal RNA". It matches the Rfam family "Bacterial small subunit ribosomal RNA", at positions 509 to 807 of the family's 1533-position model. The record is from RNAcentral.
CAGCAGCCGCGGUAAUACGGAGGGGGCUAGCGUUGUUCGGAAUUACUGGGCGUAAAGCGCACGUAGGCGGCUUUGCAAGUCAGAGGUGAAAGCCCGGGGCUCAACUCCGGAAUAGCCUUUGAGACUGCAUCGCUUGAACACGGGAGAGGUGAGUGGAAUUCCGAGUGUAGAGGUGAAAUUCGUAGAUAUUCGGAAGAACACCAGUGGCGAAGGCGGCUCACUGGACCGUUGUUGACGCUGAGGUGCGAAAGCGUGGGGAGCAAACAGGAUUAGAGACCCCAGUAGUCCCUGUCUCUUAUAC